Molecule: ribosomal RNA, 429 nt
Filed under: Chloroflexota bacterium
Lineage: Bacteria; Bacillati; Chloroflexota
Description: Chloroflexi bacterium partial 16S ribosomal RNA
Rfam family: Bacterial small subunit ribosomal RNA
Source: RNAcentral
UGGGGAAUAUUGCACAAUGGGCGCAAGCCUGAUGCAGCCAUGCCGCGUGUGUGAAGAAGGCCUUCGGGUUGUAAAGCACUUUCAGCGGGGAGGAAGGCGGUGAGGUUAAUAACCUCACCGAUUGACGUUACCCGCAGAAGAAGCACCGGCUAACUCCGUGCCAGCAGCCGCGGUAAUACGGAGGGUGCAAGCGUUAAUCGGAAUUACUGGGCGUAAAGCGCACGCAGGCGGUCUGUCAAGUCGGAUGUGAAAUCCCCGGGCUCAACCUGGGAACUGCAUUCGAAACUGGCAGGCUGGAGUCUUGUAGAGGGGGGUAGAAUUCCAGGUGUGGCGGUGAAAUGCGUAGAGAUCUGGAGGAAUACCGGUGGCGAAGGCGGCCCCCUGGACAAAGACUGACGCUCAGGUGCGAAAGCGUGGGGAGCAAACAGG